RNAcentral lists this ribosomal RNA (272 nucleotides) under uncultured bacterium. RNAcentral's name for it is "partial 16S ribosomal RNA". It matches the Rfam family "Bacterial small subunit ribosomal RNA", at positions 68 to 339 of the family's 1533-position model. The record is from RNAcentral.
CAAGUUGAGUAGCAAUACUUGACCUAGAGUGGCGUAAGGGUGCGUAACACGUAUGCAAUCUACCCUUAACAGGAGGAUAGCUCCCCGAAAGGGGAAUUAAUACUACAUAAGAUCACAAGAAGGCAUCUGAAGGUGAUUAAAACUGAGGUGGUUAAGGAUGAGCAUGCGCCUGAUUAGUUAGUUGGCGGGGUAACGGCCCACCAAGACGAUGAUCAGUAGGGGAACUGAGAGGUUGGUCCCCCACACUGGCACUGAGAUACGGGCCAGACUCC